CCCACUUUUUAUACGCGCUGUAUUAUGUUGAUGGUUAGCAAACUAUUGUGUAUUAUAUAAGGUAUUUAUUACCAAUUGUACCGAAAUAUAGGUUAGAAUCCAAGCGUGUAAUUUAAACGUGCACCUUGAACUUUUUUUCCGUUACGAUUUGCUAUUCAGAGCGCUGUCAUAGCGUAUCAAUCAACAAUAGCACACAUUGUGGUCGUGUAGAUUGUCAACUUUCCGCUGUUUAAAAAGUGCAUUAUAAAUUUUGGACAUCAAUUUAAUAUUCUGUGGAGGAGCACUAUGGAAUCUAUCAUAAAAUGUAUCGUGAUAUAUGCAGUGUUUUUAAUUCAGAUAGUUCUUGGAACUCCAUCUUGGAGUCUUUCGUCAAAUCCAAACACAUUCGGUAAAAAUUUUGAUUUGACUUGUUCAUUUU
This is a long non-coding RNA of Mytilus trossulus (common blue mussel), 418 nucleotides long. RefSeq lists it as uncharacterized. The record is from RefSeq and is a predicted model, not a curated record. The transcript has 3 exons. NCBI's taxonomy places the organism in Eukaryota, Metazoa, Mollusca, Bivalvia, Mytilida, Mytilidae.